This 453-nucleotide ribosomal RNA is filed under the name uncultured organism. RNAcentral's name for it is "bacterial SSU rRNA". It matches the Rfam family "Bacterial small subunit ribosomal RNA", at positions 346 to 794 of the family's 1533-position model. The record is from RNAcentral.
GUGCAGCAGGCGAGAAUUUUUCUCAAUGGGGGCAACCCUGAAGGAGCGACGCCGCGUGGAGGAUGAAGGCUUUCGGGUUGUAAACUCCUGUCAUUUGAGAACAAGUGUAGCCAAGUAACUACUGGCUACUUGAUAGUAUCAGAAGAGGAAGGGACGGCUAACUCUGUGCCAGCAGCCGCGGUAAUACAGAGGUCCCAAGCGUUGUUCGGAUUCAUUGGGCGUAAAGGGUGCGUAGGUGGCGCCGUAAGUGGGGUGUGAAAUUCCGGAGCUUAACUCCGAAACUGCAUUCCAUAUGCGGUGCUUGAGGACUGGAGAGGAGACUGGAAUUCAUGGUGUAGCAGUGAAAUGCGUAGAGAUCAUGAGGAAGACCGGUGGCGAAGGCGGGUCUCUGGACAGUUCCUGACACUGAGGCACGAAGGCCAGGGAGCGAACGGGAUUAGAUACCCGGGUAGU